CAACUGAGCAACUAACCCCUCUGUUCCCACCACCUCAUUUGCUUCCUCUGGGUCUGAAGCAGGUGUGCUCUCUGGUCGGGGCUGGGUUCUCCAGGUACUACCAGGCUCAAGGCCUGAGAGGUCCCUGCCCUGGGCUUCCUGCCGCCUCUCUCCUCCCACCUGGCAGCGAAGCAACUCCCCUGGGCCAGGCGCUGGGGGAAGGGCUCACAGAGGGAGAGCGAUAGAAACCCUCCGUGAUGGAUUGAAGGAGACGAGACCAUUCCCGGCUGGCGGAGGAGUUGCGGCUGCAGUGACAGGUGGCGAUGUUUGUGCUCUGAACCUGCAAUCUCAGCUAAUGGGAGAGAUUGAGGAGUUUGGAAUGAGACACGGCGUGGGCCACAGCCCCACGGGCCAAGAUGCUGCUGGCAUAGGCCGCGUGGCUUCGUGGGGUUCCUGAAGGAGGGAGUGGGUGCCACAUUCCUGGGCAGGGGAGAGAAUGUCUUUGGCUGCCUAUGAGUGUCAGGAGGACCAAGCUGGAGCAGCAGGUGGAUUUUUUAUCAUUGAGUCACCUGGGAAGCCUAUUCCUCAAGGAUGUUGGCCUGUGACUUUCUUUUCUUGAGGUAUCCUUUUUCUGGUUUCUGCGUCUGGAUAAUGCUGGCCUCAUAAAAUGAUUGUUUCCCCACGGCCUCCUCCAGUGGAACCCCUGCAAAGGCCGGGGAGGAAUGGAGUUGGAA
Molecule: long non-coding RNA, 713 nt
Organism: Bos taurus (domestic cattle)
Lineage: Eukaryota; Metazoa; Chordata; Mammalia; Artiodactyla; Bovidae
Source: Ensembl